This 59-nucleotide transfer RNA is filed under the name Ancylostoma duodenale. It matches the Rfam family "tRNA", at positions 7 to 64 of the family's 71-position model. Rfam says of the family: Transfer RNA (tRNA) molecules are approximately 80 nucleotides in length. Their secondary structure includes four short double-helical elements and three loops (D, anti-codon, and T loops). Lineage: Eukaryota; Metazoa; Nematoda; Chromadorea; Rhabditida; Ancylostomatidae. The record is from Rfam by way of RNAcentral.
GUGGUGUAGCGGUUAGCACUCAGGACUCUUAAUCCUGCGAGGGGAGUUCAAAUCGCCCC